RNAcentral lists this ribosomal RNA (996 nucleotides) under uncultured bacterium. RNAcentral describes it as "bacterial SSU rRNA". It matches the Rfam family "Bacterial small subunit ribosomal RNA", at positions 356 to 1376 of the family's 1533-position model. The record is from RNAcentral.
GGGGAAUCUUGCGCAAUGGGGGGAACCCUGACGCAGCGACGCCGCGUGCGGGACGGAGGCCUUCGGGUCGUAAACCGCUUUCAGCAGGGAAGAGUCAAGACUGUACCUGCAGAAGAAGCCCCGGCUAACUACGUGCCAGCAGCCGCGGUAAUACGUAGGGGGCAAGCGUUAUCCGGAUUUACUGGGUGUAAAGGGAGCGUAGACGGAUUAGCAAGUCUGAUGUGAAAGGCAGGGGCUCAACCCCUGGACUGCAUUGGAAACUGCCAGUCUUGAGUGCCGGAGAGGUAAGCGGAAUUCCUAGUGUAGCGGUAAAAUGCGUAGAUAUCGGGAGGAACACCAGUGGCGAAGGCGGCCUACUGGGCACCAACUGACGCUGAGGCUCGAAAGUGUGGGUAGCAAACAGGAUUAGAUACCCUGGUAGUCCACACCGUAAACGAUGAUUACUAGGUGUUGGAGGAUUGACCCCUUCAGUGCCGCAGUUAACACAAUAAGUAAUCCACCUGGGGAGUACGACCGCAAGGUUGAAACUCAAAGGAAUUGACGGGGGCCCGCACAAGCAGUGGAGUAUGUGGUUUAAUUCGACGCAACGCGAAGAACCUUACCAAGUCUUGACAUCCUGCGACGAUGCUGGAAACAGUAUUUUCCUUCGGGACGCAGAGACAGGUGGUGCAUGGUUGUCGUCAGCUCGUGUCGUGAGAUGUUGGGUUAAGUCCCGCAACGAGCGCAACCCUUACUGUCAGUUACUACGCAAGAGGACUCUGGCAGGACUGCCGUUGACAAAACGGAGGAAGGUGGGGAUGACGUCAAAUCAUCAUGCCCUUUAUGACUUGGGCUACACACGUACUACAAUGGCGUUAAACAAAGAGAAGCAAGACCGCGAGGUGGAGCAAAACUCAGAAACAACGUCCCAGUUCGGACUGCAGGCUGCAACUCGCCUGCACGAAGUCGGAAUUGCUAGUAAUCGUGGAUCAGCAUGCCACGGUGAAUACGUUCCCG